Molecule: transfer RNA, 72 nt
Organism: Sus scrofa (pig)
Lineage: Eukaryota; Metazoa; Chordata; Mammalia; Artiodactyla; Suidae
Rfam family: tRNA
About the family: Transfer RNA (tRNA) molecules are approximately 80 nucleotides in length.
Source: Rfam
UCCCUGGUGGUCUAGUGGUUAGGACUUGGUGCUUUCACCACUACGGCCAGGGUUCAAUGCCUGGUCCAGGAA